UAUCUUUGCAUCCGAAUUACAUAAUAAUCAUUUAAAAACAAUAUUGGAAUG
Molecule: non-coding RNA, 51 nt
Filed under: unclassified sequences
Description: S15-Flavobacteria ribosomal protein leader
Rfam family: S15-Flavobacteria ribosomal protein leader
Source: RNAcentral